Molecule: small RNA, 139 nt
Filed under: Citrobacter freundii
Lineage: Bacteria; Pseudomonadati; Pseudomonadota; Gammaproteobacteria; Enterobacterales; Enterobacteriaceae
Description: RtT sRNA
Rfam family: RtT RNA
About the family: This family represents a bacterial cis-regulatory element known as RtT RNA. The exact function of RtT is unknown although it is thought that it may be involved in changing the cellular response in relation to amino acid starvation.
Source: RNAcentral
AAUUCUUCCUAUUCGGGAAGGAUGAGAAGCUUCGACCAAGGUUCGAUUCGAGCGUUAGCGAGAAAGCGUUGCCGCAGGCAACGACCCGAAGGGCGAAGCGCGCAGCGCACAGCGCUGAGUAAUCCUUCCCCCACCACCA